Molecule: ribosomal RNA, 403 nt
Filed under: uncultured bacterium
Lineage: Bacteria
Description: bacterial SSU rRNA
Rfam family: Bacterial small subunit ribosomal RNA
Source: RNAcentral
AACGAACGCUGGCGGCGCGCCUAAUACAUGCAAGUCGAGCGAGAAGACGUAGCAAUACGUUUGUAAAGCGGCGAACGGGUGAGGAAUACAUGGGUAACCUACCCUCGAGUGGGGAAUAACUAGCCGAAAGGUUAGCUAAUACCGCGUACGCUCCUUGGACUUCGGUUCAGGGAGGAAAGCGAUACCGAGGGUAUCGCGCUCUUGGAUGGGCUCAUGUCCUAUCAGCUUGUUGGUGAGGAACGGCUCACCAAGGCUUCGACGGGUAGCUGGUCUGAGAGGACGAUCAGCCACACUGGCACUGCGACACGGGCCAGACUCCUACGGGAGCAGCAGUAAGGAAUAUUGCGCAAUGGGCGAAAGCCUGACGCAGCGACGCCGCGUGGGGGAUGAAGGUCUUCGGAUU